This 24-nucleotide transfer RNA is filed under the name Agama boueti (Mali agama). RNAcentral's name for it is "partial tRNA-Leu". Lineage: Eukaryota; Metazoa; Chordata; Lepidosauria; Squamata; Agamidae. The record is from RNAcentral.
ACUUUUAAUGGGCAUUAGCAGCCC